RNAcentral lists this ribosomal RNA (538 nucleotides) under uncultured bacterium. Its description in RNAcentral is "bacterial SSU rRNA". It matches the Rfam family "Bacterial small subunit ribosomal RNA", at positions 45 to 573 of the family's 1533-position model. The record is from RNAcentral.
GGCUAACACAUGCCAAGUCGAGCGGCAGCACGGAGGUACUUGUACCUGGAUGGCGAGCGGCGGACGGGUGAGUAAUGCCUAGGAAUCUGCCUGGUAGUGGGGGAUAACGCUCGGAAACGGACGCUAAUACCGCAUACGUCCUACGGGAGAAAGCAGGGGACCUUCGGGCCUUGCGCUAUCAGAUGAGCCUAGGUCGGAUUAGCUAGUUGGUGAGGUAAUGGCUCACCAAGGCGACGAUCCGUAACUGGUCUGAGAGGAUGAUCAGUCACACUGGAACUGAGACACGGUCCACACUCCUACGGGAGGCAGCAGUGGGGAAUAUUGGACAAUGGGCGAAAGCCUGAUCCAGCCAUGCCGCGUGUGUGAAGAAGGUCUUCGGAUUGUAAAGCACUUUAAGUUGGGAGGAAGGGCAUUUACCUAAUACGUAAGUGUUUUGACGUUACCGACAGAAUAAGCACCGGCUAACUCUGUGCCAGCAGCCGCGGUAAUACAGAGGGUGCAAGCGUUAAUCGGAAUUACUGGGCGUAAAGCGCGCGUA